UCACCGAUUAGUCGUCUCGAGGCUGAACUGAGAGCAAAACGUUUAUAUACUUUUUUUUUAAAAAAAAUGUAAAGUUUAGCAGUCCCACCUUUUUUUUUUUUUGGAAGUUUAGCAGUCCCACCUGUCUGAGCAGCGACUCACCGAGCACCACUCUACUGGGGUCCUCUGUAUUUGGUAGUCAAAGCUGCAUUUCGGGCAGCGGCAGGCUGUCGUGGAUGCAUCCAACACAACAGGGUAGAGCGAAAGGAGAAACAGGAGACGAGGACGGCUGCCCCAUCCCCAUCCGAGAUAAGCUGUGGCCUGUGCUGUGAAGAUAUCCUACCUGAAGCCUCCUGAUUACCUUCAUGAGCGGGUGUGGCCAAUUGGUCAUAAGUCAUAACCCAUAAGCUUCCAAACGGGCAAUCCUUCCAUUUGCGGAGCAAACGGCAGCCUA
This 433-nucleotide long non-coding RNA is filed under the name Sorghum bicolor (sorghum). RNAcentral describes it as "long non-coding RNA (SBIC_LNC001616)". The record is from RNAcentral. Lineage: Eukaryota; Viridiplantae; Streptophyta; Magnoliopsida; Poales; Poaceae.